Long non-coding RNA from Corapipo altera (White-ruffed manakin), 422 nucleotides. RefSeq lists it as uncharacterized. The transcript is spliced from 3 exons. The record is from RefSeq and is a predicted model, not a curated record. NCBI's taxonomy places the organism in Eukaryota, Metazoa, Chordata, Aves, Passeriformes, Pipridae.
AGUCUCUGGGGUUUGGGAAAGUAAUACAGUCUUACCCCAAAACAGCUCUGUUGAGUUUUCCUCUGUUUUGUUGCCAGCUCUCCCUCCUGCAGGAACAUCUCUGCGUCUCUCAGCUGGCUUCACGUUAUCUUGUUGCUACUGGCUACCUUUUGGCUUUCAGCCACUGUUGUCUCUGUUCAGGACUGCUCCGCUGCCACUUUCAGUGUCUUCUGCUGCUGCUGACAAUGUGUGGAGGAAUUGAUUUGCUCACUGUAAGCAAAAUAGCUGCUCUUGGUCAAAGGACUGGUCUGUGUAGAACAGCAGAUUUCUUGCCAUGUUUCUCCUUCCAGCUCUUCCUCAAAACUCUUCCUGUGCUAUCCACUGACACCUUUUUAGCCCCCAAUCAUCUGCUCGAAUCUCUAAAACAUGUGACUCAUGUUCCA